UGGACUUGUGCAAAUCACUUUUGUCGUUAGAAGAUAUUCUUGUGCUUAUGUACUACUUGGAUCUACUUUCGUUUAGUUUACGAUGUUCGAAGCGCAUCACUUGUUGUACCCUUGCAAUCCGAUGAGCGCGCAUUGGUAAGUUUAUAAUUCCGUUAUAUUGAAAGUAGUGUGUAUGCCCCGUAGUACUCGUUGCGCUAGGAAUUGUAGUUUUUUUAGUAUAGCAUGCGAACAGGAUGUGAUAAUAAGUUUAGAAUAAUUUUCCCAGAUGCGGAAUUUAAUUCUGUAUCACCCUGUAUUUGAAUUUAUUACGAGAAAAUUCCGUAACGCAAGUUAUAUUGAAAGUUGUGUGUAUGCGCCGUAGUACUCGUUGCGCUAGGAAUUGUAGUUUUUUUAGUAUAGCAUGCGAACAGGGUGUGAUAAUAAGUUUAGAAUAAUUUUCCCAGGUGCGGAAUUUAAUUCUGUAUCACCCUAUAUUCGAAUUUAUUGCGAGAAAAUUCCGUAACCAAAAAGCUGUUAGUUCCUGAUAUUUUUUCUUGACCUGAGAAUUUUCUUUUUAAAUAUUGUCAUUUUUUUGACAACACUCUGUAAAUUUGUUUUCUUUGAUAUCCAAUCAACCCUUGACCAAUUUUCUGUGUUCGAGUGUUUUCUUUCUUAAACUUUAGAUUUCCUUUUUGUAACGCCCUGUAUAACAAUUUUCCAUUUUGCAAAAGAUGUGUUAAGUUUAUUGUUGCAAGUUUGCUUUGGAAGUAUGAUUUUUUGGUAAUGUUGGAAUAUGCGUCGUUAUAACACCGGCAAAAUAACAAAAUUAAUCAGGGCUAUCCAAUACUUUUAUUAUUGUAUAAAGAUAAAGUCUUAAUGUGUGGUAUACAAUAGGAGCAUUAUUGUACGAAUGAGUCAAAGGUUUGGCUUUAAGUUUUUGCAACGUUUUAAGUUAGUUCGAUUAAGAACUUGUAAGAGAGCGGUAUUCUUUUCGGUGCAGCCAAGUUAAAUAAAAUAUUAAAGCGAAAAUCUUUCUAAUUAUUUAAAUACCAAUCCAUAACUUCUAAUAGGUAACAACCUGUAUAUUAGAUUUCCUGACAGUAUGUAGUAAAUCGCCUUUAUUUGUGAGUUUUGUUUAAAACUUGUGAUUUUCCUUUUGGAACACCCUGUAUAUUCGCUUUUUUUCCUUCAGCUUUGGUUUUAGGGCUUUCUUUUUGAACUCUAAUUUAUUUGUAACACCCUGUUUAUUAGUUUUUCCCGGAGCAUCGAGUGAAAACGAGCAAUAUUUGUAGUGUUUAAAUGUUUUCCUUUUUGUUGGUUGAAUUUUCUAUUUGUGACACCUUGUAUAAUCGUUAUCCUUCACAUCCCUGAAAAUUUUGCUUUGACUGUUAUUAGAAUUUUACUUGUUGUUCUUUGAAUUUUCUUUUUGUAACGCCCUGUAUAUUUAUUUCCCAGAGUAACGGUGAAAAACGAGCGAUAUUUAAGUAUUUAGAUUUUUUUCCUGCCUGCACUUAUUUUUUUCUUUAGUAACACCCUGUAUAUUUAUUUCCAUUUUCAAUCAUCUAGAAAAUGGGCUAUUUGCUAAUUUCUUUGUCCCGUUAGAGCUGUACGAAGUGGUACUUGCCUAUAUGUGCGCGGCUAACCAGGUCGUAAGUCUUGUUUCAAUAUGGCUACAUGUAUUUUGUUGACUUGUAAAAUCAAAACUUGUAUUCUAGUAUUAAUAAAGAAAUAGUAAGAUA
Molecule: long non-coding RNA, 1718 nt
Organism: Dalotia coriaria
Lineage: Eukaryota; Metazoa; Arthropoda; Insecta; Coleoptera; Staphylinidae
Exons: 3
Source: RefSeq, a predicted model, not a curated record